UACGGAGGGUGCAAGCGUUAUCCGGAUUCACUGGGUUUAAAGGGUGCGUAGGCGGACAGGUAAGUCAGUGGUGAAAUCUCCGAGCUUAACUCGGAAACUGCCGUUGAUACUAUUUGUCUUGAAUAUUGUGGAGGUAAGCGGAAUAUGUCAUGUAGCGGUGAAAUGCUUAGAUAUGACAUAGAACACCAAUUGCGAAGGCAGCUGGCUACACGAAUAUUGACACUGAUGCACGAAAGCGUGGGGAUCAAACAGG
Molecule: ribosomal RNA, 253 nt
Filed under: uncultured bacterium
Lineage: Bacteria
Description: partial 16S ribosomal RNA
Rfam family: Bacterial small subunit ribosomal RNA
Source: RNAcentral